AUUGAACGCUGGCGGAAUGCUUUACACAUGCAAGUCGAACGGCAGCACGGACUUCGGUCUGGUGGCGAGUGGCGAACGGGUGAGUAAUGUAUCGGAACGUGCCCAGUCGUGGGGGAUAACGUAGUGAAAAUUACGCUAAUACCGCAUACGAUCUAUGGAUGAAAGCGGGGGAUCGCAAGACCUCGCGCGAUUGGAGCGGCCGAUAUCAGAUUAGGUAGUUGGUGGGGUAAAGGCCCACCAAGCCAACGAUCCGUAGCUGGUCUGAGAGGACGACCAGCCACACUGGAACUGAGACACGGUCCAGACUCCUACGGGAGUCAGCAGUGGGGAAUUUUGGACAAUGGGCGAAAGCCUGAUCCAACCAUUCCGCGUGCAGGAUGAAGGCCCUCGGGUUGUAAACUGCUUUUGUACAGAACGAAAAGGUUUCUACUAAUACUAGGAGCUCAUGACGGUACUGUAAGAAUAAGCACCGGCUAACUACGUGCCAGCCGCCGCAGUAA
RNAcentral lists this ribosomal RNA (500 nucleotides) under uncultured bacterium. RNAcentral's name for it is "partial 16S ribosomal RNA". It matches the Rfam family "Bacterial small subunit ribosomal RNA", at positions 30 to 523 of the family's 1533-position model. The record is from RNAcentral.